CACGUAGGGGCCAAGCGUUGUCCGGAUUUAUUGGGCGUAAAGAGCUCGUAGGCGGUUGGGUAAGUCGGGUGUGAAAACUCCAAGCUCAACUUGGAGACGCCACCCGAUACUGCUCUGACUUGAGUUCGGUAGGGGAGUGGGGAAUUCCUGGUGUAGCGGUGAAAUGCGCAGAUAUCAGGAGGAACACCGGUGGCGAAGGCGCCACUCUGGGCCGAAACUGACGCUGAGGAGCGAAAGCGUGGGUAGCAAACAGG
Molecule: ribosomal RNA, 254 nt
Filed under: uncultured bacterium
Lineage: Bacteria
Description: partial 16S ribosomal RNA
Rfam family: Bacterial small subunit ribosomal RNA
Source: RNAcentral